GUACCCAUUUUACGCAAGGAUGGGUCACGUUGAGACCACAUGAUGCGGCAAGGACGUCCUUUGAUGAGAGUAUAGUUAAGCUCAUCCAAGGCCUUCUCACCAUCUUCCAUAUUGUGGAAGUUGACAUAGGCAUAACCCAAAGAACGGCGAGUAACGGCAUCACGGCAAACACGAAUACUUGCAACGGGUCCAAUACUGUUAAACAGCUCAAAAAGCAUAGCCUCAGUGACGGAGGGAUCGAGCUCACCAACGUACAAGGAAGCACUGGUGGGAGCAGUGCCAGAGGGAGUGGCAACCGAACUAGCAUUAGUAGGGGUAGAGGUAGACUCGGAGGGUUCGGCAGCGGCUUCAGGCUCCUCUGCCUUCUUCUCGGGUUGAGUUUCGGUGGAAGGAGUGUUGGAAGACUCCUCCUUGGUAGA
Schizosaccharomyces pombe (fission yeast) is the source of this 419-nucleotide non-coding RNA. The record is from the annotation of a GenBank genome assembly. NCBI's taxonomy places the organism in Eukaryota, Fungi, Ascomycota, Schizosaccharomycetes, Schizosaccharomycetales, Schizosaccharomycetaceae.